RNAcentral lists this ribosomal RNA (253 nucleotides) under uncultured bacterium. RNAcentral describes it as "partial 16S ribosomal RNA". It matches the Rfam family "Bacterial small subunit ribosomal RNA", at positions 524 to 776 of the family's 1533-position model. The record is from RNAcentral.
UACGUAGGGGGCUAGCGUUGUCCAGAAUCAUUGGGCGUAAAGAGCGUGUAGGCGGCUCGGUAAGUCCGCUGUGAAAGUCCAGGGCUCAACCCUGGAAUGCCAGUGGAAACUGUCGAGCUAGAGUCCGGAAGAGGCGAGUGGAAUUCCUGGUGUAGCGGUGAAAUGCGCAGAUAUCAGGAGGAACACCAAUGGCGAAGGCAGCUCGCUGGGACGGUACUGACGCUGAGACGCGAAAGCGUGGGGAGCAAACAGG